Molecule: non-coding RNA, 29 nt
Filed under: Mus musculus (house mouse)
Lineage: Eukaryota; Metazoa; Chordata; Mammalia; Rodentia; Muridae
Source: RNAcentral
UAAAUCCAAAGAAGCGGAUUUGCUUAGAC